GUGACCCCAGAAGCCUACAGACGGCGAUUUAGGGAAACCUACAAGCAGGUUGGUGACUCUUAUGUAGAAUGGGCCUGCAGAGUUCAUCGUACCGCAGCCCACUGGAUGGCAGGAUGCCAAGCGGUAACUGGGGAGGAGGUGCUGCAGGUGUUCUUGCUGGAACAUUGCUUUGACCGUUUGCCUACCGGAGUCCGGGAGUGGGUCAGAGAUAGAAAACCCUCUACCCUACCCGAGGUGGC
Non-coding RNA from Pelobates cultripes (western spadefoot toad), 239 nucleotides. NCBI's taxonomy places the organism in Eukaryota, Metazoa, Chordata, Amphibia, Anura, Pelobatidae. The record is from the annotation of a GenBank genome assembly.